Molecule: ribosomal RNA, 494 nt
Filed under: uncultured bacterium
Lineage: Bacteria
Description: partial 16S ribosomal RNA
Rfam family: Bacterial small subunit ribosomal RNA
Source: RNAcentral
GACGAACGCUGGCGGCGUGCUUAACACAUGCAAGUCGAACGGUGAAGCGCCUUCCUUUUUGGUGGGUGUGGAUGAGUGGCGAACGGGUGAGUAACACGUGAGUAACCUGCCCCCUUCUUCUGGAUAACCGCAUGAAAGUGUGGCUAAUACGGGAUAUUCUGGGUCUGUCGCAUGAUGGGUCUGGGAAAGAUAUUGUUUCGGUGGGGGAUGGGCUCGCGGCCUAUCAGCUUGUUGGUGGGGUGAUGGCCUACCAAGGCGGUGACGGGUAGCCGGCCUGAGAGGGUGGACGGUCACACGGGGACUGAGACACGGCCCAGACUCCUACGGGAGGCAGCAGUGGGGAAUAUGGCACAAUGGGCGCAAGCCUGAUGCAGCGACGCCACGUGAGGGAUGGAGGCCUUCGGGUUGUGAACCUCUUUCGCCAGUGAAGCAGGCCUGCCUCGUUUGUGGGUGGGUUGACGGUAGCUGGAGAAGAAGCGCCGGCUAACUACGUG